Molecule: ribosomal RNA, 253 nt
Filed under: uncultured bacterium
Lineage: Bacteria
Description: partial 16S ribosomal RNA
Rfam family: Bacterial small subunit ribosomal RNA
Source: RNAcentral
UACGUAGGGGGCUAGCGUUGUCCGGAAUCAUUGGGCGUAAAGCGCGUGUAGGCGGUCCGGUAAGUCCGCUGUGAAAGUCGGGGGCUCAACCCUCGAAUGCCGGUGGAUACUGUCGGGCUAGAGUACGGAAGAGGCGAGUGGAAUUCCUGGUGUAGCGGUGAAAUGCGCAGAUAUCAGGAGGAACACCAAUUGCGAAGGCAGCUCGCUGGGACGCUACUGACGCUGAGACGCGAAAGCGUGGGGAGCAAACAGG